Molecule: ribosomal RNA, 426 nt
Filed under: uncultured bacterium
Lineage: Bacteria
Description: bacterial SSU rRNA
Rfam family: Bacterial small subunit ribosomal RNA
Source: RNAcentral
GUGAGGAAUAUUCGACAAUGGGGGAAACCCUGAUCGAGCAACGCCGCGUGCAGGAUGAAGGCCUUCGGGUCGUAAACUGCUUUUAUGAGUGAAGAAUAUGACGGUAACUCAUGAAUAAGCACCGGCUAACUACGUGCCAGCAGCCGCGGUCAUACGUAGGGUGCAAGCAUUAUCCGGAGUGACUGGGCGUAAAGAGUUGCGUAGGUGGUUUUGUAAGCGAAUAGUGAAAUCUGAAAGCUCAACUUUCAGACUGUUGUUCGAACUGCAAAACUCGAGAAUGGUAGAGGUUACUGGAAUUUCUAGUGUAGGAGUGAAAUCCGUAGAUAUUAGAAGGAACACCAAUGGCGUAGGCAGGUAACUGGACCAUUUCUGACACUAAGGCACGAAAGCGUGGGGAGCAAACCGGAUUAGAUACCCCAGUAGUCC